CGUGUCGUGAGAUGUCGGUUAAGUCCGCUAACGAGCGCAACCCUCACUGUGUGUUAUAUGUGGUCACACGGGACUGCCGGUUUAAGCCGGAGGAAGGUGGGAUGACGUCAAGUCAGCAUGGCCUUUAUAUCCUGGGCUACACACACGCUACAAUGGUCGGUACAAUAGGUUGCCAAGCCGCGAGGCGGAGCCAAUCCACAAAGACCGGCCUCAGUUCAGAUUGUAGGCUGCAACUCGCCUGCAUGAAGAUGGAGUUGCUAGUAACCGCAGGUCAGCAAUACUGCGGUGAAUACGUUCCCGGGUCUU
RNAcentral lists this ribosomal RNA (306 nucleotides) under uncultured Anaerolineaceae bacterium. Its description in RNAcentral is "bacterial SSU rRNA". It matches the Rfam family "Bacterial small subunit ribosomal RNA", at positions 1061 to 1382 of the family's 1533-position model. The record is from RNAcentral. Lineage: Bacteria; Bacillati; Chloroflexota; Anaerolineae; Anaerolineales; Anaerolineaceae.